RNAcentral lists this ribosomal RNA (4026 nucleotides) under Triticum aestivum (bread wheat). RNAcentral describes it as "partial small subunit ribosomal RNA". Lineage: Eukaryota; Viridiplantae; Streptophyta; Magnoliopsida; Poales; Poaceae. The record is from RNAcentral.
AUGUGGAGUGAUGACCUUCAAGUGCAUGUACAUAUUUCUAAUUUCCAUGUUAUCUUAGCUACAAUAGUAAAUGUAGUGUCUAGAGAAGAGUUUGCUCUGGUUUGUGUUUACGGGGAUCCUUACCAUCGUCAGACAAACCAGAUUUGGGAUCUUGUAGCAUCUUUUGUGUAUGAUAAUGCCAACAAGCCAGUUGUCUGUAUGGGAGAUAUGAAUAACAUUUUGUAUGACGAUGAUAAGAACUCCCAGCAUGUUAAUAGUAAUCGUAUGCGCGCUUUUCGUAACAUUGUUAAAUCUUGUGGGUUUUUUGAUCUAGGAUAUAGUGGGCCUGCUUAUACUUGGACUAAUAAGCGAUAUUCUUCUGUGCCUAUCUAUGAACGCCUAGAUAGAUGCUUGGUAAAUGCUGAAUGGUGUGCUUUAUAUCCGAUCACUAAUGUCUAUAAUAUGCCGAUCACUAUUAGUGACCACGCUCCCAUUCUUGUCUCCACUGAAGGUAAUUUCAGAAAGCCUUUGCAAACUUUUAAAUUUGAAAAUUGGUGGCUCAUGGAAAAGGAUUUUAAUGAAUAUGCCAAAGUUGCUUGGAAUAGUACUGCUCAUAGGCCUUUCUAUGCUAGAACUAACCACCUUGCAGGAUCACUCAAGAAAUGGUGCAAGAAGAAGAAACCUCUAAAUCAGGAACUCAAUUCUCUGGAGGAACAAAUUAAGAAUAUUCAAAAAAAACCAUUGCAUGAGCAGGAUCACAACAUGGAAGCAGCCCUUGUUUGCAGGUUUGAGGAAAAUUUAACGAAGCUCACUCAAUUUUAUAGCCAGAGAGCUAAGAAACAUUGGGCGACAAAAGGAGAUAGGAACACCAGUUUUUUCCAUCAAGCUGUUCUCAAAAGGAGGAGGAAAAACCAAAUAGUUUCCAUCAGGGAUAACAAAAAUAUUACUCAUUUUAACCCAGAUAAAAUUGCGCACAUAUUUGUAGACUAUUUUAAAGAAAUCUUCAAGUCUAACAAUGCAGAUCUUGGGAGGCCGUACGAUGCAACAACAACAAACAAUGACAGCAGAGAUUGUACCAACACUAUCCCAGAUAAACAGGAGGUUUGGAGCAUUUUGAAGGAAAUGAAGGUCAAUGCAUCCCCAGGACCAGAUGGAUUCAAUGUGGCGUUCUACCUGGCGGCUUGGGAUUGGAUAGGAGAGGAUAUCACCAAUCUGGUAAGAAAAUUUUAUGAAACAGGGGUAAUGCCUAAUCAUAUAAAUAACACAAACAUUGUUCUAAUUCCUAAAAAACUUGUUUGUACUACUCCUGCUGAUUUUAGACCUAUUAGUCUCUGCAAUGUUGUUUAUAAAAUUAUUGCUAAAUCCUUGGCCAAUAGACUUAAACCACACCUCCCUAAUUUUAUUCAUCCUUCUCAACAAGCUUUUAUUGAAGGUAGGAGAAUUAGUAAUAAUAUCAUUAUUGCCCAAGAAAUCACUCAUUCCUUUACUCUUAAUUCUUGGAACACUCCUGCCUUUAUGCUUAAAAUUGAUCUGGCAAAAGCUUUUGAUCGUCUUGAGUGGAAUUUCAUUAUAUCGGCUUUAACGCGAAAAGGGUUGCAUAGUCAUUUCAUUCAUCUCAUCCAUGCAUGCAUAGCUACUCCUGUUUUCUCUGUUGUCAUUAAUGGUCAAUCUUAUGCGAGAUUCAGAAGUAGUAGAGGUAUAAGACAAGGAUGCCCUCUUUCACCUUAUUUGUUUGUCCUUGCCAUAAAUGAGCUCUCAAUAUCCUUGCAAGAAGCCAUGACAGCCAACCACUUGUCAGGUAUAUCUCUUGGACCUUAUUGCCCCCCAAUCCAUUCUCUCAUGUUUGCUGAUGAUCUCCUUGUUUGUGGUCUGGCCACGAUAGAGGAAGCUAAUACUAUGAAUGAGAUUAUACGUUCUUUUUGUAUUAUCUCUGGUCAAACCCCCAACUGGACCAAAUCAGGUAUUCUGUUUAGUAAAGGUGUGGAUCCUAGUAUACAACUUACAAUCAGAAAUAUCUUUCCAGUUCCCAUCAUUGAUAAUCAUUUCACUCAUUUAGGUCACCCUCUCAUUCUCCCAGCUAAAGAUAGGUCCUCAGCUUAUAAUUUUGUUAUUGACAAAUUCAAAUCCAAGCUCCCAACCUAUAAAGCCAAUAAACUUUCACAUGCUGGUAGACUCACUCUUAUUAAUUCAGUUUUUGCUUCUAUUCCCAUUUAUUAUAUGUCAAAUAUUCUCUUCCCCAAAAAAUUCUUGGCCAAACUUACUGCUAUCAUUAGGAACUUCUGGUGGACAGGAGUUAGGGAAGAAGCUAAUGCCAAAUCUCUUUGUCUUAGAGCUUGGAAGGACAUUUGUGCUCCAAAAAAUGAAGGGGGACUAGGAAUCAAGAAUAUUCAAGCUACCAACAGGUGUCUCAUUCUUGCAGCUGCUUGGAGAAUUGUUGAAAAGCCUGACAGCCAUCUAUCAAAAAUCUUAAAAUCUAAAUACUUUCCUGACUCCUCUCUUUGGAGAGCCAAUUAUAAUGUUCCCAAAUCUGCCUUUUGGGCCUCCAUUCUUAAAGUUAGGCCAAUUCUUAUUAGAAAUUCUUUUUUCCAAAUCAGGGCUGGCAAUAUCUCUCUUUGGAGCUCUCCGUGGUUUAACACUUGGGAAAGUAUUUAUGAUCAUCUCAUAAUUCAAGAUAAUGAUUUUAUCUAUCCGGCUCUUAUUAGAGAUCUUUGGAUUCCAGGGCAGAAAAAAUGGAAUGCUAAUCUCAUAGAUCUUUUAUUUGAUUCUGAUACAGCUAAUUCCAUCAAGCAGGUGCCAAUCAUACAGGAAGAAGGUGAAGAUAUUUUAUGUUGGAAACACACACCAACAGGGAAAUUCACUACAAAAAGUGCAUAUAAAACUUGUUUCCAGGUCUUGCAAGAGGAAGGAGAGCCACAACCUAGAACUCUAAACAAUAAUUUAAAAGAACUCUUAAAGCAGGUAUGGAAGGACAGAAAUAUGGCUCCUAGAAUCCAAACAUUUGCAUGGAGACUGGUAAGAAAAGCUUUACCUACAGGGAAGAGAGCAGGUAAGUAUUCUAAGCACAUUAGUAAGUUCUGCUCAAGAUGUGGCUUAGAAGAGGAUGAGAUGCACAUAUUUUUCAACUGUGUUUAUGCUAGAGCUGCAUGGUUUGCAAACCCCUGGUACAUUAGAACUGAUUUGUUGUGUCAGAAUUUAGAUUCUUUAGUUACUACCAUCUUAAACUUAGCUAAUUCAAAUCAUCCAAAUGCAACCUUAAGUAAUAUUUUCACUUUUUUGUGGUGCCUUUGGAAGUUCAGGAAUGACAAAGUUUUUCAAAGAAAAGAUGCAUCUCCAAUACAGGUCUUCCAUGCGGCUCAAGCAAUCAUAAACAGUUUGUCUUUGGAACAAAAUAUAAAUAUGCAGGAAACAGCUACUUCUGAAACAGGAAAGGAUUGCAAGCAUAAGGAAGACAAAUAUGUUCAAGGGAAUACAGUUAAUCUGACUGAAAUUUCAACCUCAACGAAAAUAUUCACGGAUGCAGCUUGGAAUAAACAGGAACAAUCAAGUGUGAACGGAACAGGGAAAACAGGUAUAGGGAUAUCCAUAGAAGGACAAGAAAGACGAACAAAAUGGCAGAUCAAGAUUUCCGCAACAGCAAUGCAAGCUCAAUCAGCGAUACAUGCCGAAGCCUUGGCGAUCAAGUUAGCAGCCAUCAUCAUAAACAUGACAGGAAUACAUGAGGCUGCCAUUCUAACGGAUAAUUUAACUUUAGCAAAAGCAGCAGCGGCAAGGGAACCAACCAAGCAGCCUGGACACUGGAUGAUUAGAGGUAUAUUAGCAGAUUUCUGUGCCCUCACAAGCUCAAGCCAUGUCCAGGUAUUCCAUGUAAGAAGGAACCAAAACUCGGUAGCUCAUGAUGCAGCAAAGCUAGCUUAUUCGCAGGAAUUUAAUCCAAAUCAACACUGUGUAACUACUUGUACUAUUGCUGAACAUCAACGCUGGCAUCAUUCCCUGAAGCAGGUUAUCCAAGAUGUAUCACAAAAGGGUUAUGCCAUUAAUCAUGCUUGA